AAUGAACGCUGGCGGCGUGUCUUAAGCAUGCAAGUCGUGCGGCAAGGUAGCAAUACCCCUAGAGCGGCGGACUGGUGAGUAACGCGUGGGUGAUCUGCCCUUGGGUUGGGGAUAGCCAUUAGAAAUAGUGGGUAAUACCGAAUACGAUGGCGAGUCUGUGGUCUUGUCAUGAAAGGCGCUUCGGCGCCACCCGAGGAUGAGCCCGCGUCCCAUUAGCUAGUUGGUGAGGUAACGGCCCACCAAGGCGAUGAUGGGUAGGCGGCCUGAGAGGGUGUGCGCCCACACUCGGAAUGAGAAACGGCCCAGACUACGACGGGAGGCAGCAGCUAAGAAUAUUCCGGAAUGGACGAAAGUCUGACGGAGCGACGCCGCGUGGAUGACGAAGGCCGAAAGGUUGUAAAAUCCUUUUGUUGGGGAAGAAUAAGGCUGGGAGGGAAUGCCCGGCUGAUGACAUGAACCGACGAAUAAGUACCGGCUAACUACGUGCCAGCAGCAGCCGCCG
This 502-nucleotide ribosomal RNA is filed under the name uncultured bacterium. RNAcentral describes it as "partial 16S ribosomal RNA". It matches the Rfam family "Bacterial small subunit ribosomal RNA", at positions 29 to 523 of the family's 1533-position model. The record is from RNAcentral.